GCUGGGCGCAGCAGUGCAUACCUGUAAUCCUAGCACCUCAGGAGGCUGAGGCAGGAGAAUCAUGAGUUCAAAGCAACUUAGUGAGACCCUGUUUCUA
Molecule: small RNA, 97 nt
Filed under: Marmota monax (woodchuck)
Lineage: Eukaryota; Metazoa; Chordata; Mammalia; Rodentia; Sciuridae
Source: RNAcentral